This 252-nucleotide ribosomal RNA is filed under the name uncultured bacterium. RNAcentral describes it as "partial 16S ribosomal RNA". It matches the Rfam family "Bacterial small subunit ribosomal RNA", at positions 524 to 776 of the family's 1533-position model. The record is from RNAcentral.
UACGUAGGGUGCAAGCGUUAAUCGGAAUACUGGGCGUAAAGCGUGCGCAGGCGGUGAUGUAAGACAGAUGUGAAAUCCCCGGGCUCAACCUGGGAACUGCAUUUGUGACUGCAUCGCUGGAGUGCGGCAGAGGGGGAUGGAAUUCCGCGUGUAGCAGUGAAAUGCGUAGAUAUGCGGAGGAACACCGAUGGCGAAGGCAAUCCCCUGGGCCUGCACUGACGCUCAUGCACGAAAGCGUGGGGAGCAAACGGG